GCCGGGCAUGGUGACUCACGCCUGUAAUCCCAGCACUUUGGGAGGCCGAGGUGGGAGGAUCACCUGAGGUCAGGAGUUCCAGCCUGGCCAACAUGGUGAAACCCCAUCUCUA
Unclassified non-coding RNA from Pongo abelii (Sumatran orangutan), 112 nucleotides. It matches the Rfam family "Metazoan signal recognition particle RNA". From Rfam's summary of the family: The signal recognition particle (SRP) is a universally conserved ribonucleoprotein. It is involved in the co-translational targeting of proteins to membranes. NCBI's taxonomy places the organism in Eukaryota, Metazoa, Chordata, Mammalia, Primates, Hominidae. The record is from Ensembl.